AGCGUGCCCUGUUUAUCUCAUGUUGACAUAACUGGUUGGCCUGAUAAAUGUAAGUUCACAGUGUAACAGCUUUCCAGAUGGAACAUGAACACGUCUUCAGAGGGACGCGCUUCAUAGAACAUCCAACCGGAAAUUAAACUUGCGUGAAUUAUGCUCGACUUCUCCAUGUUGCCACCCUUUAGCACAACUCUUCACUGCUGCUCACCGGUUUCUCACCUGCUUGGAUCGCGGCACGUCUUCGAAGUAGUUGUCGUUGCUGCGCUGCCUGCGACGGGCGUCCGCCUGCAUGAUGAGGUGCUGCACGUCCAGAGAUCCGCCCGGGACCCCCGCCGUGUACGCUGCCUGGCCCACCGACGGGCUGAGCUGGGGAGGAGUGUGGUUUCCGCCGGGUUCCUUGGAUUGGAGCAGUGGAGGGAAGCAAGAGAGGGUUCAUUCAUCAUUUCAUAAUGUGCUGUGUCACUGCUGCAAGUGCAAUAAGUAAAGCAAUCGGAUUCACUGUG
Scatophagus argus is the source of this 500-nucleotide long non-coding RNA. RefSeq lists it as uncharacterized. The transcript is spliced from 2 exons. The record is from RefSeq and is a predicted model, not a curated record. NCBI's taxonomy places the organism in Eukaryota, Metazoa, Chordata, Actinopteri, Scatophagidae.